RNAcentral lists this unclassified non-coding RNA (2293 nucleotides) under Hevea brasiliensis (rubber tree). Lineage: Eukaryota; Viridiplantae; Streptophyta; Magnoliopsida; Malpighiales; Euphorbiaceae. The record is from RNAcentral.
CUGCAAUGAUUGCUAAUGAACUGUUCAGAAGGUGAUAACAGUCUGGAGCUUCCUUAUAAAGGUUAAAUAGAAGUCGCUUGCUAGAAAAAUCUUUAUUCAAUUUCAUACUUUUAAGGAACACGAAGCAUAUCAACAGCAAGCAGUGAGAGAACACAUGCAUCCGCACUGUGCAUAUAACACUACAAAUGCAGAAGCAAUGUAAACCUACUGCUUACAUUGCAGAUAGUUCAGUCAAACAUAUCUACAAAAAUUCCCAUAUUAAAAGGACAAAAGAUUACAAUACAGAGAUGAAAAAUGAGCCAUUAUUAGAUGCUCUCAUACAAGCUACAAUCAUGAGGUUUGCAAACGUGCCUCAGCCAACUUCAAUGUCAGAAGGCUGUACGCUGUAGUUACUAUUUAGUAUCAUGGAUCUCAAACUCAGUUCAGUAGCAUGGUAACCAUAGACCUCAGAACAAAAGAUUAUUACUAAUGUAUCCUAUUUUACAAUAAAUUAACAAAAAAUACACAUAAAAAUUAAGUUUAUUGUAAUUUACCAGUUUUACUAUAUUAAAAAAAAAAAUUUCAAUCAUCUUCCCAAGCUUCAUAAUUAUGCCUAUGAUUGCAAGCAGCCUAUUGAUUCUAAGCAAUUUAAUGGGAAGUUAGACUUGAUCUUGGCCCAUUGGACAAGUGAGUAAGCAACCUCAAGAACAUAGAUGAGAGGCCAUACCCAGGUGGCCAGCAUGUUUAAAAUCUUGAGGAAUUUACAAGACAACUCCAGCAUGGAAGUUGAUAGAUUAGCAAUUCAAUAAUGUUGUAAAUAUUAAUUAAAUAUAUGAAUAAAAAAAAAAUACAACAAACCUUUCAGGUUUGCAGAAACACCAGUCUCUAUACAUUUGAGCAAAUUCUUCAAAUCUCCUUCUCUGGCAAAGGCAUGAAUGGCAUCCAUUUUCCUAAUAAGAGAAAACAUCAAAUAAAGAAACUUCGGAUGGUCAUGAGAAUCCCUUGCUUCAAUAUCAAAGUAUGUGUUGACAACAAUAAGGUUAAACCACACAGUAAUUUAGACAUUCUAUGGUUAGCAUUUUGAAAGAUGUAUGUAAUAGUAGUAGAAAUACUACCCAGAUGAUUUAACUUAUUUUUGAAAUGACUCAUGCAUAUAUAAACUUUAUAAUGUUCCAGGUCACCCUUCCCUUCAUCUGAUUCCUAAUCCCUACAUGAUGCUAUAAUAACCUCCAGUUGAUACAAGCAUUGGCUUUGCUAGUUGCCACAUAGGGUUAUCCACCAACAAUUUCCUGACCAUCCUAUCUCUCUUAUAUGGGUCUAGGUUGGAGAGAGAACCACACAGCUAACAUCAACUGCAUGGAAAUUCAAGCCAAGUGGGAAUCAAGGUUCAUUGUCAUUAACCAUUAAAGAAAAGGUUUGGUAUCAUAAUUAAGCAUAGCAGGUACCAAAUACUGAUAAGAGAGAGUUUAAUAUCUCCCCAGCAUAUAGAUACCUCUGUAAAAUCCUGAUUAACAUGCUCCUCAGAUUAGCCAACAUACCAGCUUGUGUAUGCACAAGCACAUGAGAAAAGACAACUAAUAAGAAUAGAGCCAAACCAACAAAUACAUUUACAUACUUUCCAAUGUAUGUUUCAAUGCAAUUACAGAAUCACAUGAAGUUCCCUGAGACUGCCCUCAAAAUGACACUAUUUAAGAGAAUCAUACAAAAUGCAAUGGAUAUACAAAUCAAAAUGGACUUUCUAUGCAUAUAGGAAUUAAAAUAACCUUACAAUUCAUUUCCAGAUUCCUCCUCAUACACAUAAGUGCUGAAAACUGGACCCAUGGGCCCUUUGGCAUCCAUACUUUGUGCAUCACCAUCUCCACCUUUCCUUUUCUAACCAUCCAUAUGUUUAGAAAAUCAAAAAAUAAAGAAAAAACAUAAUCCAUCUGAAAGUAAGUACAAGUACAAAAGAAAAGGCAAGAUAGUGAAACAAGAAGAUUAAAACCUCACCAUGGCUGAACCAGAAGCCCAAGAAGGAUAUAAUUCUGUAACAAUAUCAAUGUACUUUUGCAUUGCAUCCUCUGGAGGCAUAGCACCGAGUUUCUGCCAUGCUUGCCACUUGGCACGAGCACUAAUUUUGAUGGCGGAAGGAGGGGGAGUACUGCAAGGUCCUUCGGUGGCAAUCUUGUACAAGCCGUAAAGCUGCAACUGCACAUCCGUCGACACCUUCUGAGAAAGCCGAUCCGCUGCAGCCGCCGCCACAAAUGCGGUAGCAGCACUAAACGUUUCGUCCAGUUCGGUGCUCUCGACGCCCUCCCAAUCAUCAUCAUCGUCA